RNAcentral lists this transfer RNA (77 nucleotides) under Chloroflexaceae bacterium. RNAcentral describes it as "tRNA-Arg". It matches the Rfam family "tRNA". From Rfam's summary of the family: Transfer RNA (tRNA) molecules are approximately 80 nucleotides in length. Lineage: Bacteria; Bacillati; Chloroflexota; Chloroflexia; Chloroflexales; Chloroflexaceae. The record is from RNAcentral.
GGCCUCGUAGCUCAGUGGAUUAGAGCGCUUCCCUGCGGAGGAAGAGGUCGUGCGUUCGAAUCGCACCGAGGUCGCCA